RNAcentral lists this ribosomal RNA (1372 nucleotides) under uncultured bacterium. RNAcentral's name for it is "bacterial SSU rRNA". It matches the Rfam family "Bacterial small subunit ribosomal RNA", at positions 28 to 1381 of the family's 1533-position model. The record is from RNAcentral.
GAUGAACGCUGGCGGCGUGCCUAAUACAUGCAAGUCGAGCGAACAGACGAGGAGCUUGCUCCUUUGACGUUAGCGGCGGACGGGUGAGUAACACGUGGGUAACCUACCUAUAAGACUGGGAUAACUUCGGGAAACCGGAGCUAAUACCGGAUAAUAUUUCGAACCGCAUGGUUCGAUAGUGAAAGAUGGCUUUGCUAUCACUUAUAGAUGGACCUGCGCCGUAUUAGCUAGUUGGUAAGGUAAUGGCUUACCAAGGCAACGAUACGUAGCCGACCUGAGAGGGUGAUCGGCCACACUGGAACUGAGACACGGUCCAGACUCCUACGGGAGGCAGCAGUAGGGAAUCUUCCGCAAUGGGCGAAAGCCUGACGGAGCAACGCCGCGUGAGUGAUGAAGGUCUUCGGAUCGUAAAACUCUGUUAUUAGGGAAGAACAAACGUGUAAGUAACUGUGCACGUCUUGACGGUACCUAAUCAGAAAGCCACGGCUAACUACGUGCCAGCAGCCGCGGUAAUACGUAGGUGGCAAGCGUUAUCCGGAAUUAUUGGGCGUAAAGCGCGCGUAGGCGGUUUUUUAAGUCUGAUGUGAAAGCCCACGGCUCAACCGUGGAGGGUCAUUGGAAACUGGAAAACUUGAGUGCAGAAGAGGAAAGUGGAAUUCCAUGUGUAGCGGUGAAAUGCGCAGAGAUAUGGAGGAACACCAGUGGCGAAGGCGACUUUCUGGUCUGUAACUGACGCUGAUGUGCGAAAGCGUGGGGAUCAAACAGGAUUAGAUACCCUGGUAGUCCACGCCGUAAACGAUGAGUGCUAAGUGUUAGGGGGUUUCCGCCCCUUAGUGCUGCAGCUAACGCAUUAAGCACUCCGCCUGGGGAGUACGACCGCAAGGUUGAAACUCAAAGGAAUUGACGGGGACCCGCACAAGCGGUGGAGCAUGUGGUUUAAUUCGAAGCAACGCGAAGAACCUUACCAAAUCUUGACAUCCUUUGACCCUUCUAGAGAUAGAAGUUUCCCCUUCGGGGGACAAAGUGACAGGUGGUGCAUGGUUGUCGUCAGCUCGUGUCGUGAGAUGCUGGGUUAAGUCCCGCAACGAGCGCAACCCUUAAGCUUAGUUGCCAUCAUUAAGUUGGGCACUCUAAGUUGACUGCCGGUGACAAACCGGAGGAAGGUGGGGAUGACGUCAAAUCAUCAUGCCCCUUAUGAUUUGGGCUACACACGUGCUACAAUGGACAAUACAAAGGGCAGCGAAACCGCGAGGUCAAGCAAAUCCCAUAAAGUUGUUCUUAGUUCGGAUUGUAGUCUGCAACUCGACUACAUGAAGCUGGAAUCGCUAGUAAUCGUAGAUCAGCAUGCUACGGUGAAUACGUUCCCGGGUCU